Molecule: long non-coding RNA, 217 nt
Filed under: Phaseolus vulgaris (common bean)
Lineage: Eukaryota; Viridiplantae; Streptophyta; Magnoliopsida; Fabales; Fabaceae
Description: long non-coding RNA (PVUL_LNC000628)
Source: RNAcentral
AAAGGUUUAUGGACGGCUGUUGUAAGAGGUAUAUGGAGCAUCGAAGCGCGGUUAUUUUUAAGCGAAGGUUCCAGAUGUGGAAGAAAUCCUUUCACACAGCGCAACUUAGAUCAUGUUUAGAUGAAACAUAGGGCUGGAUCCUUCUACUAUUCUUUCUUUGGCAUUUGAAUCUUGUCCAUUGCUUGAAAAGCUAUGCCUAGUGCGGGAAGGGGUUCUU